This 481-nucleotide long non-coding RNA is filed under the name Zostera marina. Its description in RNAcentral is "long non-coding RNA (ZMAR_LNC002949)". The record is from RNAcentral. Lineage: Eukaryota; Viridiplantae; Streptophyta; Magnoliopsida; Alismatales; Zosteraceae.
GAGCCAAUGACGCGACCCUCGAUCCACCCACCACGUUAUACUGCAUGUUGGUCACGUGCAUACAAUUUUGUACCAUACCUGAUAUCUGACCGGCACCACACUGACACACCACUACUCUUUAGUCUUUACCGGCGAAUAUGGAGAUUUCUCGCCGGCAACAUCUCCGAUCUCGCUGAAACCCUAACCAGAAGGUAUUUCUUGAUCGAUCUUCUCUCAGAGCCUGCUUACUGAUGCUGUUGUGAUGUUGUUUUUCGGGUUUGCAGAAGAAGAGAGGAUGAAGAGGAGGAAUUCGUUAUCAUCGUCGUCUUCGUCAUCUUCGUCAUCGUCAUCUGUUUGGGGGAAACUGCAAUGGAACGGGAAAAAAAUCGUUUAUCUGCUUCUUCUGUUGUUCUGCUUCACUACUUUCCUUCUACUGCAGUCGCCUUAUAAUCGUCUGGAAACAUCGCAAUCUUCUCCGUCGUUUUCUUCUUCGUCGUCGNNN